UUUUCGGACAAUGGAAGUAGAGGAAAGUGGCGGACGGGUGAGUAACGCGUGAGGAACCUGCCUUGAAGAGGGGGAUAACGGCUGGAAACGGUCGCUAAUACCGCAUGAUGUGUUCGGAUGGCAUCAUCUGAACAUCAAAGAUUUAUCGCUGAAAGAUGGGCUCGCGUCUGAUUAGAUAGUUGGUGGGGUAACGGCCUACCAAGUCUACGAUCAGUAGCCGGCCUGAGAGGGUGAACGGCCACAUUGGGACUGAGACACAGCCCAAACUCC
This 270-nucleotide ribosomal RNA is filed under the name uncultured Eubacteriales bacterium. RNAcentral's name for it is "uncultured Clostridiales bacterium partial 16S ribosomal RNA". It matches the Rfam family "Bacterial small subunit ribosomal RNA", at positions 72 to 339 of the family's 1533-position model. Lineage: Bacteria; Bacillati; Bacillota; Clostridia; Eubacteriales. The record is from RNAcentral.